GAUGAACGCUGGCGGCGUGCCUAAUACAUGCAAGUCGAGCGAACAGAUGAGGAGCUUGCUCCUCUGACGUUAGCGGCGGACGGGUGAGUAACACGUGGAUAACCUACCUAUAAGACUGGGAUAACUUCGGGAAACCGGAGCUAAUACCGGAUAAUAUAUUGAACCGCAUGGUUCAAUAGUGAAAGACGGUUUUGCUGUCACUUAUAGAUGGAUCCGCGCCGCAUUAGCUAGUUGGUAAGGUAACGGCUUACCAAGGCAACGAUGCGUAGCCGACCUGAGAGGGUGAUCUGCCACACUGGAACUGAGACACGGUCCAGACACCUACGGGAGGCAGCAGUAGGGAAUCUUCCGCAAUGGGCGAAAGCUUGACGGAGCAACGCCGCGUGAGUGAUGAAGGUCUUCGGAUCGUAAAACUCUGUUAUUAGGGAAGAACAAAUGUGUAAGUAACUAUGCACGUCUUGACGGUACCUAAUCAGAAAGCCACGGCUAACUACGUG
This 497-nucleotide ribosomal RNA is filed under the name uncultured bacterium. Its description in RNAcentral is "partial 16S ribosomal RNA". It matches the Rfam family "Bacterial small subunit ribosomal RNA", at positions 28 to 507 of the family's 1533-position model. The record is from RNAcentral.